GUACUCGGGUUUCUCUUCAGUGCGAAUAAAUAUUUCGGUAUUCACUAAAGAUUUCCGUGGAGAGGAACAACAUAAAUGAGUCUGUAACCAAUUUUUUGAGCUCAACUUAGUUGAGC
This 116-nucleotide small nuclear RNA is filed under the name Leptinotarsa decemlineata (Colorado potato beetle). Its description in RNAcentral is "U5 spliceosomal RNA". It matches the Rfam family "U5 spliceosomal RNA". Rfam says of the family: U5 RNA is a component of both types of known spliceosome. The record is from RNAcentral. Lineage: Eukaryota; Metazoa; Arthropoda; Insecta; Coleoptera; Chrysomelidae.